This 253-nucleotide ribosomal RNA is filed under the name uncultured Eubacteriales bacterium. Its description in RNAcentral is "uncultured Clostridiales bacterium partial 16S ribosomal RNA". It matches the Rfam family "Bacterial small subunit ribosomal RNA", at positions 524 to 776 of the family's 1533-position model. Lineage: Bacteria; Bacillati; Bacillota; Clostridia; Eubacteriales. The record is from RNAcentral.
UACGGAGGGUGCAAGCGUUACUCGGAAUCACUGGGCGUAAAGAGCGCGUAGGCGGGAUAGCAAGUCAGAUGUGAAAUCCCAUGGCUUAACCAUGGAACUGCUUUGGAAACUGUGCAGCUGGAGUGCAGGAGAGGUAAGCGGAAUUCCUAGUGUAGCGGUGAAAUGCGUAGAUAUUAGGAGGAACACCAGUGGCGAAGGCGGCUUACUGGACUGUAACUGACGUUGAGGCUCGAAAGCGUGGGGAGCAAACAGG